Molecule: long non-coding RNA, 2286 nt
Organism: Coffea eugenioides
Lineage: Eukaryota; Viridiplantae; Streptophyta; Magnoliopsida; Gentianales; Rubiaceae
Exons: 5
Source: RefSeq, a predicted model, not a curated record
UCUGAAGCAAAAAAUUUGUGCUAAUUUUAGGGGUUCUACGGUGAGGUUUUAGGUUAUAUUCUUCGGGAUUUAAUUUUUGUGAGGCAUUAUGUUCCAGCCUUUUGUAUGUAAUAAAGAGGUUAUCCUCGAUUUUGUUACAUUACAGAGUUUUAUUGGCCAUUCACAAAAUGGGAUGAAUUCUCUGGAGAGACGUGUAGAUGGUCUAGAGAAAGCUCUUGAUAUGAUAUGCAAUGCUCUGGCAAUAUCAACAGGAAAGAUUGCAGACACUGAUGCUACAGGAAAUACAUGCUGCCUGGUGCAGAAUUCUUGAGUCCUAAGUUCUGGAGGAAAAGUGAAGCACAGAAUUUCAGUUGAAAGAUUUCUUUUUCAAACCAAUACCAGUCACUUAAUUAUAUGCCGAACAAAUAUGUAAAUUCUGAAUCAUCAAAACUGGAGAGUCCAAUAGAGAAGCAUCAAAUAGGGAGUGUUCCUGGUGUGGACUUCAUGGGAGAUGCUCAAGCAGGCUCUAGGGAAACUCCGGAUUCCUACUCAAAAAGAAGGUUAAAUAGGUUACUCAAAGAUGCUGAUGCGGUAAAAAGUUGCUAUGGUGGCCUUGAUAUAGCAUCAGGUGCUACUUGUGUACGAAAGGAGACUUAAAUAGCUGUUUUUCUGAAUAGGUCAUGAGGAACAUGGAAAAGUCACCAUGCUUUACCCUUGCAUUGGAACUUGUGGUUAUUUCCUCAGCCAGCUAUUUUAUACUGUUUUGGACAACAUUUUAUGGCCAUGUGGGUGAAAUUCCAUCUUGGGGCCUUCUUUCUUGGAUUUGGAUCAAUAUAUUUUUAAUGUGAAUAGAAUAGAUAUCAAAAGUUUGAUUAAACAAGUAGUAGCAAAAAACUCAGUAAUUCAUGUAAUUUUUGUGAAUAUUAAAUAGGAGCAGCCCUGAAACAAAAUUUAAGACCAAUUUUUAAGACAAGUAUUUUUUAUUGUCUUUCACUUUGAUUGACCACAUUGAUUGACACUAUUGGCUUCAGGUAUGUCUUCAUUUUUUCUGGUAUUUUUUGGUGAUUUUUCCUUGGGCUGACAUUGGCAAGAAAAGCAGCUAUGCGAAAGAAGAAGAAUGAACAGCAACUGAUGGUAGGUUUUUUUUUAAACUAUUUCCUAUUUUUUCUUGCAUAGAUGUUUGUUGCUGUCGUGGCUCAUGAAUGGCAUUGUUUUGGGUUCUCUGAGUUUUUUGGAAUUAUAGAAAUAAAGCACUUUUCAUCUUUGUUUGUACAAUCUCUGUUUUUUAGGUCUCAAAAGUGUUUUUUUUUGCUUUUCUCUGUUUUAUCUUCUGCUGCAAUUUUUUUUGGUGAAUAUGUGGUGAACUGUGAUAGAAAUAAAGCAUUUAGAAUUAUAGAAAUAAUGCUCUUUUUAUGCAGCGAAAGCGAACUGUGAUAGUUUGACAAAUGGAAAGAAUGAAAUUAGGCUCUUUUCUCAGUAUUUUUAUUUUGUUUUGGUUUAGCUCACAUGUUUUAAAAUUGAUUAUUUUGCACCUUCCGGUAUAUUAUCAGAUGUAAGUCAAUCCUUCAGAAAGACAAGGAUUGGUGGCUUCAUGUUAUCUUGGUGUUUUUGUCACAUUUUUAGAAAAGCUUUUUUUUUUUUAAAUGAUUCGCAUUUAGAAAAGACAUCUCAUCUAUUUUCGCAGACCUUUUCUUACCCUUUUUCUAAUUAUUGUAUAAAAUUUAAAUCAUGGUUCUUUAUCUUAAUUAUUGCUAGAAACUUAGUUUGACCAGCUUUGUUGCGUCUAACUUGCAUGGAAGAAUGCUCAUGUGCUACAUCAAACCUUUCUGUCCCAAGUUUAGGGCACAUAUAGAAGUUGCCUUCUCUAUAAUGAAUUCUCACAUUUGGUUGAAAUUUUCGGCAUUGACAAUGCGAACUUCAAUAGCCUUAAUAUUCAGAACUGAUAAUAAUAAAGAAUGCAGGGUAUGCAAUCAAUAUAGAGACGUCCAAGGAGCUUUACAGACACUUGAAAUCAUUCCUUGUUAAUCCUCUCCCACCGUUUAACAAACAAAUAAAUGGCAGCAGCCGCAAGAAUGAUCGAGAGAAUGCUGCAAAUAAGAUUGGUAGAUAUCGAUACAGCUUAGCCUAUUCCUCUUUGAGUAGUUAUUGGAGCCUUGAAGGCUGAUUUUGUUCCAAUCUUGACACUAAGUUCUUUCGUCCUUUUUAUAUUUUUAGCAAAUUGGAUUAUGUACUUUGAAUGUAAUUUAUAUUCUAUAAUGUGUUUCCUAAGUCAUGGUAUUUAAUAAACAUUUGGGAAGACCAUUUUAA